AUCCAGCUGACGAAUCCCAAAAUAGGACGAAACGCGCGUCCUGGAU
This 46-nucleotide non-coding RNA is filed under the name Schistosoma mansoni. Lineage: Eukaryota; Metazoa; Platyhelminthes; Trematoda; Strigeidida; Schistosomatidae. The record is from RNAcentral.